CGUAAAGCGAGCGCAGGCGGAAAAAUAAGUCUAAUGUGAAAGCCCUCGGCUUAACCGAGGAACUGCAUCGGAAACUGUUUUUCUUGAGUGCAGAAGAGGAGAGUGGAACUCCAUGUGUAGCGGUGGAAUGCGUAGAUAUAUGGAAGAACACCAGUGGCGAAGGCGGCUCUCUGGUCUGCAACUGACGCUGAGGCUCGAAAGCAUGGGUAGCGAACAGGAUUAGAUACCCUGGUAGUCCAUGCCGUAAACGAUGAGUGCUAAGUGUUGGGAGGUUUCCGCCUCUCAGUGCUGCAGCUAACGCAUUAAGCACUCCGCCUGGGGAGUACGACCGCAAGGUUGAAACUCAAAGGAAUUGACGGGGGCCCGCACAAGCGGUGGAGCAUGUGGUUUAAUUCGAUGCAACGCGAAGAACCUUACCAGGUCUUGACAUCUAGUGCAAUCUGUAGAGAUACGGAGUUCCCUUCGGGGACGCUAAGACAGGUGGUGCAUGGCUGUCGUCAGCUCGUGUCGUGAGAUGUUGGGUUAAGUCCCGCAACGAGCGCAACCCUUGUUAUUAGUUGCCAGCAUUAAGUUGGGCACUCUAAUGAGACUGCCGGUGACAAACCGGAGGAAGGUGGGGAUGACGUCAAGUCAUCAUGCCCCUUAUGACCUGGGCUACACACGUGCUACAAUGGGCAGUACAACGAGAAGCAAGCCUGCGAAGGCAAGCGAAUCUCUGAAAGCUGUUCUCAGUUCGGACUGCAGUCUGCAACUCGACUGCACGAAGCUGGAAUCGCUAGUA
RNAcentral lists this ribosomal RNA (781 nucleotides) under uncultured Bacillota bacterium. RNAcentral describes it as "bacterial SSU rRNA". It matches the Rfam family "Bacterial small subunit ribosomal RNA", at positions 559 to 1340 of the family's 1533-position model. Lineage: Bacteria; Bacillati; Bacillota. The record is from RNAcentral.